Molecule: ribosomal RNA, 494 nt
Filed under: uncultured bacterium
Lineage: Bacteria
Description: partial 16S ribosomal RNA
Rfam family: Bacterial small subunit ribosomal RNA
Source: RNAcentral
GAUGAACGCUAGCGGCAGGCUUAACACAUGCAAGUCGAGGGGUAUAGUUCUUCGGAACUAGAGACCGGCGCACGGGUGCGUAACGCGUAUGCAAUCUACCUUUUACAGGGGAAUAGCCCAGAGAAAUUUGGAUUAAUGCCCCAUAGUAUAGUUUAUUCGCAUGAGUAGAUUAUUAAAGUUCCAACGGUAAAAGAUGAGCAUGCGUCCCAUUAGCUAGAUGGUAAGGUAACGGCUUACCAUGGCGACGAUGGGUAGGGGUCCUGAGAGGGAGAUCCCCCACACUGGUACUGAGACACGGACCAGACUCCUACGGGAGGCAGCAGUGAGGAAUAUUGGUCAAUGGACGCAAGUCUGAACCAGCCAUGCCGCGUGCAGGAUGACGGCCCUAUGGAUUGUAAACUGCUUUUGUACGAGAAGAAACACUGCUACGUGUAGCAGCUUGACGGUAUCGUAAGAAUAAGGAUCGGCUAACUCCGUGCCAGCAGCCGCCGCAG